Molecule: long non-coding RNA, 208 nt
Filed under: Homo sapiens (human)
Lineage: Eukaryota; Metazoa; Chordata; Mammalia; Primates; Hominidae
Description: non-protein coding lnc-RHOU-2:1
Source: RNAcentral
CAGAUGACAGAUACAAAGGCAGCAUGGGUUAACUGUCCAGCCCUCAGAAUGCGCUGUGCCCUACUGUACUCCCCUCAUAAAGCGGGGGGCCUUCGCAAUGGGGAAGCCAGGCAAACACCACGUCGGCCCAGUGACCAAGGCCAGAGCCGGCUCCCUCAGCUUGCAGGGAGGUGUGGAGGGAAAGGUGCGAGCGGGAACCUGGGCGGCA